Molecule: non-coding RNA, 1272 nt
Organism: Zootermopsis nevadensis
Lineage: Eukaryota; Metazoa; Arthropoda; Insecta; Blattodea; Termopsidae
Source: RefSeq, a predicted model, not a curated record
CGAACGUAACAUGAAUAGUCUAAGAAUCUUUGAAGCGAAUUAAGUAUUUGGGCAGUCUGUUCCUCUAAUGUGUAUCAUAUUCAUUCUAGAUUAUGCAAUUUUCGAAAUCCCCAGAUAUAAAUAUCGUCAUAAAAGAAGCUUUAAGAUCUAGCUUCUUUUAAUACGUACAUGUUUCAGUGGAAAGUAUUCCUACAUUCGCCAUUUCAGUUUCACUUGCCAAUGCAAUUCAGACUUACAAAUAGUUUGUCAUCCUGCAAAGCUAUAAAUACAAAGAAAUACUUCUAAAAUUUGGCCGCUUGGGUAAGCAGUGUGUAAAUAGUAAUAUCGUAAUUCAGAGAAAUGGAUGCUGUAAUUGGAUUCAGCGAAAUUUUGAUAGUUUUGUUAAAGGCCGGGCAAACUAAUAUGUGGAUAGCAAUAACGUUUUGAGAACAACGAAAUGCCUGUUGUGGCUGUUAUUAUUAAGGCAUAUAUAUUAACUUGCCAAGACUGCCACAAAUUAUAUAGGACAAACAGGUAGAAAUUUCAAAUUAAGUUUAAAGAAUACGUCAAGGAUAUAAAAGCUAAAAAAAAAACAAGCACAGGAUUUUCCCAACAUAUUCUACAAAAUGAACACUCGUACGGCACCUUGGAAGAUACAAAGAAAAUUCUUUAAGAGGCCAAAAAGGGUAGUUACACGAACACACUAGAAGAAACAUUCCACAUAUACAACAGCGUUAAAAAAUGCGUUCAUUUUCACGAAACAAACCCAGAUAACAACAACCCAGUUUUUGAAAUCCUGAUGAACGCCAAUAACACCUAGAGAAUGUUCUCUCCAUCCCGUACCGUUAUCGGCCUACUCCACCCCCCGCCCCGUUCGUCUUCUACCCCUAAACAUACCAACCACUUCAGUUCACAGUCAAGCUUUUAACAGGUAACUACACGUACAGUGCAUAGCCCAGUCUACUAAAAUAGGUGUAAUGAACAUGCAGGUUAUGUGAGAUUGGGGUUCUCACGGUGAAAACUGUGAAAAUGGCCAAUGGACACAGAAAGUACCUCUGAAAUCUUACUCAUCGCCCUGAUGAUGGUGGCAGUAAUCACCUCUAGGAUGUUGGUAAAUGUCUACCAAACUACACAGUGCAACAUUCUAGUCUUCAGUGAUAGCUGGAAGUCAUUUUCAUUUAUGGCACUGCAAGUAUGUCUCCUUUCAGAAUUAUGAUUAACAUGUUUUAGAUGUCCCUUGUGUGAUGGGAGUGCCAUGUAGCAGGCUAGAACAGAAGCUACAUUUGUGAUUUA